Molecule: small nucleolar RNA, 76 nt
Organism: Pristis pectinata (smalltooth sawfish)
Lineage: Eukaryota; Metazoa; Chordata; Chondrichthyes; Rhinopristiformes; Pristidae
Product: small nucleolar RNA SNORD83
Exons: 1
Source: RefSeq, a predicted model, not a curated record
GCCACAUGAUGUUAAAUGGAUGAAUUGAGCACACUGUGCCAAGAUGACUCAUAUCUAUCACCCUUGACUGAUGGCU